CAUCUGUUAUAAAUGAACAGACAGAAGCAAAUGGGGGGAGGUUGAAUGACUGAUAGAAUGAAGGCCCUCCUGAAAAGAAGGUAGGGUCUCCCCAAUAUAAAACUUAUAAGACAAAUAGAUCAACAAGAAGACAUAUGGGUAGGAAAACUGAUAUGAUAAUAGCAUGGUUUUCUAUGCAUUUUAGGGGUUCUGAGGGGAUAUGACACCCCAUCUCACUCCUCUUGAUAUUCUACCUGCACCUCAUGGUGGGGCUACAUCAGAGCCUGUUGAACCAUGGCGGGGUACACCCUGGACAGGUUGUCAAUCUGUCACAUCCAGACACUCACAUUAGGGACACUAGAAUGACCAAUUGACCCUACAAACCAUCAUUUUGGAGUGUUAACUGAACAUAUUCAGAAAGAUCCCAGCUGGGAUUUGAACCAUGGACUGUUUCCUGAUAGGUGAGAGCGCUAACUAGGGCUGGGUAUUGUCAACAAUUCGAUUAAACUCCAAUUUUUGUCUAUUCUUUCGAUCCACUCAAUUCAAUUUGAUACAAUUUUGAGUUGACACAGUUUACACAUUUGUUAGAAAUACAUUCAUCUAUUUACAUUUUUUUCAUAUUAAUAUAAUACAGUUCACAUACUUUAAAAUGUAUUAGUGAAAUUAUAAGAAGAUUGUUAAUACCAUACAGUGUUAUAUAGAUUCUCAAACGGAAAAGUUCCAACAAUUCUUCUGCCUCUCCUGGGAGGGCGUUUCAGUUUGGCCACUAGGUGGCGAUCGCGCUGUAGCAUUACAUCUUAUUCCAGAAGAACAAAGUAGGAGUGAAAAAACGGUGUUUCAGACCACAAAUGGUCACUUUAAAAAUAUUUCCUUAAAAGAGUUUGUAAAAUUCAUACCUAGCAUUACCCAUUCUCUUUACUGAAAGUCACCUGUCUCUGCUGAAGAGGUUCAGGGAGUCCCCGGGCAUCGAGGGGGGACACCAUGAGGCGAUAUCCAGUCACAUCACCUGUGGCCGGGCUCCAGGUAAGCCUGAGGGAGUUGUACGCCAGCUCGCUAACCUGCAGGUCUCUGGGACCUACCACACGCUCCUCACCUUCAACGCAAGCGAAGAUGCACAGAUGAGAGAUGUUAUGAUGGAUUAUCCCUGCAGGUUGGAGAGCGGUGACAGUGAAGAUGCAUGCACACGCAGACACGUGUGCCCAUCUCUGAACUACAAUGCACAGAUGUUUUGGUGCAACAGUUACUAACAACAGCUGCUAAACAGGCGAUUCUUUGCAUGGUGACCUUCCAAGGGUCAACAGAGGAGAAAAUAUCACAGAGACAACUCCAGUCGUCUUCACUCCUCUGACUUUUGAUCUCCAGAAAGCUUCAUAUGGAGGAUCCUGUCGGCGGAGAAAAUCUAAAGUGGAUUCAGUGGAAUGCAUCUUCCCCAUUUCCUGUUCGUCAAUGACACACACACAUAUAUAUGCUCGCAAGCAGAAACAAGUCUGCUGAAUGUCUGAUGAGAGCAGGUCACUGGAGCUCUGCAGCAACGCUCACCGGAAUGAAAAAUGGCCGAGGGGCAGGCUGCUACUAUAGAAGCUGCUUUGCUUUUUUGAGUAGUCACAAUAAAGUUUUACGCAUUGGAGAA
Molecule: long non-coding RNA, 1609 nt
Organism: Oryzias melastigma (Indian medaka)
Lineage: Eukaryota; Metazoa; Chordata; Actinopteri; Beloniformes; Adrianichthyidae
Exons: 5
Source: RefSeq, a predicted model, not a curated record